CCUACGGGUGGCAGCAGUCGAGAAUCAUUCACAAUGGGGGAAACCCUGAUGGUGCGACGCCGCGUGGGGGAAUGAAGGUCUUCGGAUUGUAAACCCCUGUCAUGUGGGAGCAAAUUAAAAAGAUAGUACCACAAGAGGAAGAGACGGCUAACGCUGUGCCAGCAGCCGCGGUAAUACAGAGGUCUCAAGCGUUGUUCGGAAUCACUGGGCGUAAAGCGUGCGUAGGCUGUUUCGUAAGUCGUGUGUGAAAGGGGCGGGCUCAACCCGCGGACGGCACAUGAUACUGCGAGACUAGAGUAAUGGAGGGGGAGCCGGAAUUCUCGGUGUAGCAGUGAAAUGCGUAGAUAUCGAGAGGAACACUCGUGGCGAAGGCGGGUUCCUGGACAUUAACUGACGCUGAGGCACGAAGGCCAGGGGAGCGAAAGGGAUUAGAUACCCCUGUAGUC
RNAcentral lists this ribosomal RNA (446 nucleotides) under uncultured bacterium. Its description in RNAcentral is "partial 16S ribosomal RNA". It matches the Rfam family "Bacterial small subunit ribosomal RNA", at positions 338 to 795 of the family's 1533-position model. The record is from RNAcentral.